CCUGGCACUCCUCAUCACCGUGCUGGAUCCUUUCACACAUCAUUUCCAGGAUGCUGAGACCUGCAGUCUUGGGCACAGCAGCGAAGGAACAUCUGCAGGGGGAGAGAGCACUGCAUAGCGCAGCUCCUGCAAGAUGAUGGCAUGGGAAAGGAUGAAAGGAUCCCUCUCACUGCUCCAGAUCUGGAUCCUGAGACAGACAUCAUUUGUGCAACACGUGUCAAAGCCUCUGUGACAAAGGGGGAUUCUGUGGCAAAUAUGACACACAGAGUGAAACCCAGGAAGAUCGAGACCCUUGAAGGCCCAGACCAAGUCUACCAUGACAGCCUCCUGCCAUCAGCUCCAUAUCAAGCAAGGGCAUCUGGAAGCUUGUUUGGGAUGGAA
Molecule: long non-coding RNA, 381 nt
Filed under: Serinus canaria (Common canary)
Lineage: Eukaryota; Metazoa; Chordata; Aves; Passeriformes; Fringillidae
Description: lncRNA (ENSSCAG00000007712.1)
Source: RNAcentral